UACAGAGGUCUCAAGCGUUGUUCGGAUUCAUUGGGCGUAAAGGGCGUGUAGGCGGUCAGGUAAGUGGGAUGUGAAAUGCCCCGGCUCACCCGGGGACCGGCAUCCCAUACUGCUUGGCUUGAGUACGGGAGAGGAUGUGGGAAUUCCUGGUGUAGCGGUGAAAUGCGUAGAUAUCAGGAGGAACACCGGUGGCGAAGGCGCACAUCUGGCCCGAUACUGACGCUGAGGUGCGAAAGCGUGGGGAGCAAACAGG
This 253-nucleotide ribosomal RNA is filed under the name uncultured bacterium. Its description in RNAcentral is "partial 16S ribosomal RNA". It matches the Rfam family "Bacterial small subunit ribosomal RNA", at positions 524 to 776 of the family's 1533-position model. The record is from RNAcentral.